GUGCUUUAGGGAUGAACAAGUCCCUAACAUUCAAUGCUUCCAUCCGAUUCACUUUGUCAGCUCUGUAUUUUCGUAUUUUGCUGAUCAUUGUAGGAUGGAAUAUUU
Non-coding RNA from Cajanus cajan (pigeon pea), 105 nucleotides. Lineage: Eukaryota; Viridiplantae; Streptophyta; Magnoliopsida; Fabales; Fabaceae. The record is from Rfam.